This 495-nucleotide ribosomal RNA is filed under the name uncultured bacterium. Its description in RNAcentral is "partial 16S ribosomal RNA". It matches the Rfam family "Bacterial small subunit ribosomal RNA", at positions 28 to 507 of the family's 1533-position model. The record is from RNAcentral.
GACGAACGCUGGCGGCGUGCCUAAUACAUGCAAGUAGAACGCUGAAGGAGGAGCUUGCUUCUCUGGAUGAGUUGCGAACGGGUGAGUAACGCGUAGGUAACCUGCCUGGUAGCGGGGGAUAACUAUUGGAAACGAUAGCUAAUACCGCAUAAUAGUAGAUGUUGCAUGACAUUUGCCUAAAAGGUGCAAUUGCAUCACUACCAGAUGGACCUGCGUUGUAUUAGCUAGUUGGUGGGGUAACGGCUCACCAAGGCGACGAUACAUAGCCGACCUGAGAGGGUGAUCGGCCACACUGGGACUGAGACACGGCCCAGACUCCUACGGGAGGCAGCAGUAGGGAAUCUUCGGCAAUGGACGGAAGUCUGACCGAGCAACGCCGCGUGAGUGAAGAAGGUUUUCGGAUCGUAAAGCUCUGUUGUAAGAGAAGAACGAGUGUGAGAGUGGAAAGUUCACACUGUGACGGUAUCUUACCAGAAAGGGACGGCUAGCUACGUG